GGGCUUGCCCACUAUCUCUUACCCAUGUCUUUUGAGUACU
This 40-nucleotide ribosomal RNA is filed under the name Chaetopyrena penicillata. Its description in RNAcentral is "partial 18S ribosomal RNA". The record is from RNAcentral. Lineage: Eukaryota; Fungi; Ascomycota; Dothideomycetes; Pleosporales; Didymellaceae.